GUCUAGCUGGCUGGAUACUAGAGCACUGAAGCAUAGAUUAAUGACAUCAGAGAUGACUUGUGAUGUUUCCUUUUGAGGUCCCAUAGGUAUCUGUUUAUUUCCAGAAAUAUAUACAUUAAGCAUUACUUUUAAUAGUUGUGCAGGGGAAGGGAGGGAGCACUCUAGCAAUAAUUUUGUUGUUAGAACAGGAUUGGUAACGCGGGAUAACUACAGUACAGUGGUGCCUCGCAAGACGAAAUUAAUUCGUUCCGCAAGUCUCUUCGUCUUGCGAGUUUUUCGUCUUGCGAUGCACGGUUUCCCAUAGGAAUGCAUUGAAAAUCAAUUAAUGCGUUCCUAGGGAAACCGCCUUCAGACCAGGUCCGGGGACAGACUGUCCCCGGACCUCUUCUGAAGGCUGGCGGGGCAAGGGCUUUUCUUCCCACCCCCAGCAUUUUAAAACCCCGGGACAGCGGAGGACUUCUCCGCUGUCCGGGCGAUCUUAAAAUGCUGGCGGGCGGCAAUUUAAAAUCACCCCGGGACAGCGGAGGACUUCUCCGCUGUCCGGGGCAAUUUAAAAGCCCCUGGGAAGGCAGGCGGGGGGAGCAAAGACUUUGCCCCCGCCAGCCUUCAGAAGAGGUCCUGGACCUCUUCUGAAGGCGGGCGGGGGCGAAAGUCUUUGCUCCCCGCCUUCAAAAGCCCUCCGGGACAGGCAGGCAGGGGAGCAAAGACUUCGCCCCCGCCCGCCUUCAGAAGGUCUUCCCUCCCCCGCCCGGCUCGGAGCACCGCCCGGGCCGGGCGGCGGCGGGAGGUCUUCCCUCCCCGCCCGGCUUCGGAGCACCGCCCGGGCCGGGCGGCGGCGGGAGGUGCUCCCUCCCCGCCCGGCCUCGGAGCACCGCCCGGGCCGGGCGGCGGGGGAGGUCUUCCCUCCCCAUCGCCCGGCUUCGGAGCACCGCCCGAGCCGGGCGGCGGCGGGAGGUGUUCCCUCCCCGCCCGGCUUCGGAGCACCGUUCCGAAGCCGGGCGGCGGGGGGAGGUCUUCCCUCCCCACCGCCCGGCUUCGGAGCACCGUUCCGAAGCCGGGCGGCGGGGGGAGGUCUUCCCUCCCCACCUCCCGGCUUCGGAGCACCGCUCCGGGCCGGGCGGCGGCGGGAGGUGUUCCCUCCCCGCCCGGCCUCGGAGCACCGCCCGGGCCGGGCGGCGGCGGGAGGUGUCCCUCCCCCCGCCCGGCUCGGAGCACCGCCCGGGCCGGGCGGCGGGGGAGGUCUUCCUCCCCACCGCCCGGCUCGGAGCACCGUCCCGGCCGGGCGGAGGCGGGAGGUCUUCCCUCCCCCGCCCGGCUUCGGAGCACCGCUCCGGGCCGGGCGGCGGCGGCAGGUGCUCCCUCCCCCGCCCGGCUCGGAGCACCGCUCCGGCCGGGCGGCGGGGAGGUCUCCCUCCCCACCGCCCGGCUUCGGAGCACCGCCCGGCCGGGCGGCGGCGGCAGGUGUUCCCUCCCCCGCCCGGCUCGGAGCACCGUUCCGGAGCCGGGCGGCGGGGAGGUCUUCCUCCCCACCGCCCGGCUCGGAGCACCGCUCCGAGCCGGGCGGCGGCGGCAGGUGUUCCCUCCCCGCCCGGCUUCGGAGCACCGUCCGGGCCGGGCGGCGGCGGCAGGUGUUCCCUCCCCGCCCGGCUUCGGAGCACCGUCCGAAGCCGGGCGGCGGCGGCAGGUGUUCCCUCCCCCGCCCGGCUUCGGAGGAGCCUUCCGAGCCCGGCGGCGGCGGGAGGAGGUGUCCCCGCCCGCCGCCAGGCUUCGGAGGAGGUCCGAGGACAGUGGGGAAGACGCGCUGCGCUUCCCCGCUGUCCCUGAGAUUUCCUAUGGGCUGUCGUCUUGCGAAGCAAGCCCAUAGGGAAAUUCGUUUUGCGAAGCGCCUCCAAAACGGAAAACCCUUUCGUCUAGCGGGUUUUCCGUCUUGCGAGGCGUUCGUCUUGCGGGGUACCACUGUAUGUAACUAGCACCUGGUAUUUCCUCCUUUGUUGAAGUCUAAGAGUAAUCAACACAUGGAUCAGUACUGGUAUACAUAACAACAGCACAAUCCUGCGCAUAUUUGCUCAGUAGAUACCUACUAACUACAUUGGGGCUAUCCUGCCUUAUGAGUGGUCAAAGCUUGAAGCCUUAAUACCACAACUAAAUAGGUUGCUGUAAGUUGUACUGCUAUUACUCUCAGAGUUUUAUUCAUACCUUUCAAUAAGGAGUCUUUUUGGAACAAUCACAAUAAGGAAAGUCAACUUAUAUUGUGAUCUGACAGAGUUUGAAAUGUUAAUUAAUGAACAUUUCAAUGCUAUUUGGCAGGGCUGGGGGGAGAGAAAUACUUUAUUAAAAUACUUUAUUAUAUGCUUACGACAAUAAACUUAAUGUAAUAGGGUUUAAUGUUUUAUAAGUGCUAGCUCAUUGGCAUUUUAUUAAUUUCGAUGGUGUUUUGCAAGCUGCUCUAAGAGGGUUUGAUCUGGAAACAUAUUUUAUAUAACUAAAUGCUAUGGAGGGUAAAAGGAGAGAUGGAGCACCAGUCAGAAGCACACAUAGGGUCACUGCCCUUUUUGCUCUAUCUCUAGUGCACAAGGGUAUUAGCUUAUAGGUAUAUCGUCCAGUAAUGCUAUUCUUUACAAGUUGUUGUUGUUGUCGAUGAUAAAAAUAAUAUUCACACUUUAUCCAUGGAUUUGAGAAACAGUUCAUAACUUCAGAAUAACACUCCUGGACUAUGCCUAUUUCAAAAGGUACACAUGGGAUUGUAUGACUGAGUGUUUCUCCAUGUGGGAACAGUGCUUGGAUAUGGAAGAACUCUGCCAGGAUGUAAUAAUCCUCUCCCUAAAACCCAAUAAUACCACUAUCCAGGUGGUAUGUGGGCGACACUGAAUAUUUACAAAGGCUUGCAACAAAAGCUGGGACCCAAAAUAUAUGAUGCCUUAAAUUUAUGUGUAAUUCAGUCCAAUGUAUCUGAUGCAUGUAGUGUUGAGUUGCAAGUAUGUGAGAGAGUGUGUGUGUGCAUAUAGUUUGGGGAAAAUUGUAAAGAGUGAGGUCAUCAGAAAAUGAGGUAUGGAAAAGCAUAGUUUAUGAAAAUCACAUGAUUAAUAGUGAGCAUUGGCAAAAAGCAGGUUUUGCUAACACAGACAUCCUGGCAUAAGUUAGCCAAUAAACAUAUGCAGUGUGAUAAAAAAAAAUCAUUUGUCCUGAUUCAGCCCACAAGUGAUAGCACUGAACCUCUUGAUGAAUCAUAAUUCAGCAUUUUCAUGUAGCAGUCUCCCUUUGUGGCAUUGGCCACUUUAAGGCAAGUUACAGAGGGCUGUAGGAGACUGAAGUGCUCCCCCACUGGUUUUUAUACACAGUACUGCCAUUUCUGAUGUACAGAAACUGACCUGAUUUGUCCUAUGUAGAAUACAAAAGGGCACCACUGGCAGUUAUCAAAUAUUACCAAGGAAGGUGAACAAAAAAAAACACCUUAACAUUAUGAAUAAUAUUACUAGUAUUCACUUUGUGGAAACAAUGGUGCAUCUACAUAAUGGAUAUAUUGGAACCCACUGACCACUAUACAUUUUUGCAUGUUUCUAACUUCCACUUGGAAUACAGUGCUAAAUCCUACAAAACAGCCUCAUAUAUUCAUAUUUAACCAGCAAGUUUAAGAUUCACAGCUCACAACUAAAGAAUAUACAUCAAGUUGUUCUCAAAUCCCAGCCAACUAAAUGAAAAACAAAGCAGAACGGAACUACAAACUCAGAUUGGGAUUCAGGAAUAAUCUUAUGUAGGACAGACCUAGAAGAGAAAACAAGACCGCCACUUGUUGUCGUCUAAUUCCCAGCUGAAACUACUCAAACAUUUCACCACUGAUCUAUAGUCCAACCUAGACACUUGUCUCUCACAGACCAUGGGUAGCAGGCCAAUAUGUGCCAACAGAAAUGUGGCAGAUGCCAGGUCUGUCCCCAUGACUCCUCUGACAACGCUAUGUUGGAAUCUAAUGUCAACCAUAACAUCAAUGGGUCGCAAUGCAGUUAUUACAGCCUGUACUUUUCUGCCUUUAACUUCUUUCUGACCUCACUGUUUACAGUUCCCCUAUUCUCUCAACUCUGGAAAACACCUCAUGCAUCUGAUGGUGUAGCCUAUACUCCAUGAAAGCUUACACUGUAAUAAAUUUGCUAGGCAGUAUCCAACGUUAACCAGCGUAAUCUCAUGGAAAUCUAUUAUUUUACUGAAUUACAUCCAUUGAUUUCGAUGUGUCUCCUCUGAGAACGACUUCAUUCACUAUCACCCUUAGCCUUUAAGGCAGGGUUGGGGGACCUAUGGCCUUCCCCAUGUUACUAGACUUCAGCUCCCAUCAUACCUGAUCAUUGGACAUGCUGGCCAGGGCUGAUGGGAGCUGAAGUCCAACAAUGCUGGGAGGGCCACAGGUUCUACCUCCCUGCUUUAAGGCACCACAAGGGGUUUUUAACUGAAAAAUUAGUGGAUAUUGUCUGACCACGCAUGUUUUCCCAAGGAACAGCAAGUAAUGUUUAACAGUAGAUAUGACAGUUUAAACACAUGUAGCUGCAUUUAAGGAGGUCUUGAAUUAUGAUGCAAGUUAUUCUGCUGCUGUUGCUGUGUAAAUACAUGGAAUGACAUACCAAUGCUGCCCAGUUCCAACAUUUCAGCUAAGCCUGUGCGCUGUGUAAUUGCUCACAACCCAUUAAGCUUGAUAUGUUCUGUAGACUCCCAUCUUUUACCUGAUGCAUUUAUUCUGCAUGGGAUACCUCGAAGAGAACAUAUCUGAUUCAGUAAAAGGCAAAUAAAAUUUAAACCAUGCAAGCAGGAUAUGCUUUCAGGAAAUCUCUGUAUACAGGAAAUAUCUGAAUGGGGUUCUUUUUUGCUGGCAAUGAUCCAGCACUCAGAGAAUGAAUAUAAGGAUGUUCACAAAUAGUGCUGAUGCUUGACUGAUUUCAUAUGUUUGACCAGCUCGUUUUCUAGCUUUCAUCUGCAGAUAUUAUAACUCCCCCCCACCAAAAAAAUCUACCAUAAUUUUAAUUUGCUUCACAAGGCAACAAAAAAGCAAAACUAGUACAAAAAAGGUGAAAAUGCAUUAUGCCUAAAAUUGGAUUAAAAGCAAAUCAAAAUCCAACUGUGAAUUUAUCAUUUCAAUGAAUUUCAAUGCAUGGUUUAAAAUCUGUUCAAAAUCUAUUUGAAAAUGAAUAUGUAAUAAUAUAGACAUAUCUCUUUUUAUAAAGCUAGCAUUGUUGGAUGUAUUCUGUGCAUUAUAAUUCAUGAACAGAGUAGAUGACUAUUUGAGAAGUAUUAAAAUGAGCUGACUUUUCAAUACAGGUAUCUUGACAAUAAGUUUUUUUUUCUAUUCUUGGCAAUUCAGAAACGUAGACAAUUGUGCUGGGAAAAUAAUAUGUAUUGUAAUAUUCAUUGUACAGUAGAAGUAUAGUAAGUGGCAAUUCUGGACAUUACAAGAGACACAAGGAUUAUUUUCUGUGAUUGCACAGAGAAUGCUUGGAUUUCUUGUGAAGCUUUUGCAUUGGAAAUGAGAUUCAUCAGUCUGAACAGGGCAGGGUUAGAGCCCUUAGCAACAUGCUUAUUUUGUAGAAGGUCACUCAAUAAUAACUUCCUCUGCCCUCCAAGCUUAUUAAGACUGACUGGCAUAUAUUAAUGAAAACACCUGAUUCUCCAACCAUAAAACCCAGACAAAGACUUUAUUUUAAUAUUAAGGAAGGAACCCUUAAUUAGCAGGGUUUCAAAAAUGUCAGCUUCUUCUAUUAGCUGUUCUGGUCCAUCAAAGCUAUAAUCCCUACUGUCAAACUUCAUCACAUGAUAGACAGUUUGCUGGCUUUCUCUCUCCUUUUUUAACAACUCUGAUCAUACUGACUGAAGCUUCUCUUAUUUUGCUAUCACAUUUAACAACUUUGCAUGCAUUUCCAUGUUGCAUUGCUGAUUUUACUCCUCUUUUCAAAGUCCACUUGUGUCAGCUAAAAAGGAGACGAAUCUGAAGAAACACAAAAUAUUACAAGCUGAUACACAGACACAUAAUUAAGGGCUUUCUGGAAGACUUAUUCAUAAUAUUGAUUCUUUUUCCAGGGGCAUGCAAAUGUGGUUCUGUGAAAACGUGAAGGAAAAACAAGGGUUCACAGAUGAAUUUCCAUCUCAGACAAGUUACAGAAAAGAAAGAACAAAUGUUUGAAAUGUAUCUCUAAGGCUUGGGGAAAAAAUGCACCGCCUUCAUUGUUAG
Non-coding RNA from Podarcis lilfordi (Lilford's wall lizard), 6205 nucleotides. The record is from the annotation of a GenBank genome assembly. Lineage: Eukaryota; Metazoa; Chordata; Lepidosauria; Squamata; Lacertidae.